This is a long non-coding RNA of Venturia canescens, 1170 nucleotides long. RefSeq lists it as uncharacterized. The record is from RefSeq and is a predicted model, not a curated record. The transcript has 2 exons. Lineage: Eukaryota; Metazoa; Arthropoda; Insecta; Hymenoptera; Ichneumonidae.
AUUGAGCUAUAUAAAAUUAGCCCCUCGGUUUUGCCUUUUGCCAUUUUUUUAAUUUCAUUAUGAUUGUUUGUCGUUAGUUUGUGAAUGUUUGAUUAAUUUAAACGUUUGUUUGACAAUAUUUUUUGACGAACAAACGAAAUAAAAAAUAGCGUUAAAUUAGCCGCCACUGUUUCGAAAUUGAUUUUUUCAAACGCCAAUUGAUUCGGAAUCGUUUGUUUGAAACAAAUAAUAUUGUUUGAACGUUUGUUCGAUCAUUGUUUAUCCGAGAAAUGUAUAAAUCAAAUAUUGUCAAAAUCGCGGUAGAGCGAAUGUAAAUGUGAUUUCAUUUUUACUAAUCUGCAAACUCGACCGAGUACGACGGGAAUUUUAUUUCCCGAGUUGACCGCUACCAAAAAGUGUACGUUUUUAGCAGGGGCUCCUCGCUCCUCCUCAACAACGCUAUCAACGCUUAGUAGCAGAAGACUUUUCAAAGCUAACCUAGAAAACGUUAUAUUAUUUCUUAUUUCGCAUUCGCAUUCGCAUCAAGACAGUAAACGAGCAACGACCAUCGCUGUCAUUGCAAUAAACUGAUUGUAACUUUUCUAAAACAAGAAAUAUUGAGGUGCGAGGAGAAAAAAAUGAAUAAUGGUAACCGGCAAAACCUGUCAGCUGAACCUACGAGAUCUGCAAAUAUAGUUGGUAGGGUGGAGAAAAGCAAGCCGAGUUUUCUACGUGGCAACGGAGUGUUCGUUGUUGGAUUUAUCGGUUUCCUAGCUAUUCACAUAGCUUGGGACAGACUGGUCGACUAUUAUGUACCGGAAGACCAAAAAACCAAAUUGAAACCGUUUCAGUAUCUGAGAAAACUGGAUCCAUUUCCACGUGAAUAAACAUUAUGUUUCUUUACUACAUUUUUUCUAUACCUUGUUCGCUCUUAUGCAUUUUUAUUUUUCUUUGGGUGAAACGAACCGUUCCUAUGCCAUUCUUACCACAACUGUAACGAAGUUUGGAUCGUUGAUACACAAACUUGAGAUCCGUCAACUGCAAAAUUUAGUUACGCUGUUCAGCUUCAAAAAAAGAAUUUCAACAAUUCCUAGUUGAAUGAAAUGUUAUACAUUUCGUUCUAACUGUACACAACCUGGCAGGGUUUCAAUACAUUUUAACAAUAAAUAUACAACGUGGCGAGUCUCUUUA